This 253-nucleotide ribosomal RNA is filed under the name uncultured bacterium. RNAcentral's name for it is "partial 16S ribosomal RNA". It matches the Rfam family "Bacterial small subunit ribosomal RNA", at positions 524 to 776 of the family's 1533-position model. The record is from RNAcentral.
UACGUAGGUGACGAGCGUUAUCCGGAAUUAUUGGGCGUAAAGCGCACGCAAGCGGUCUGUCAAGUCUGACGCGAAAUCUCUUGGCUUAACUGGGAGCGGUCGUUGGAAACUGAUAGGCUUGAGGCGAUGAGAGGGGUGCAGAAUUCCUGGUGUAGUGGUGGAAUGCGUAGAGAUCAGGAGGAAUACCUGUGGCGAAAGCGGCACCCGGGCGUCGUUCUGACUCUCAUGUGCGAAAGCGUGGGGAGCGAACGGG